Drosophila rhopaloa is the source of this 96-nucleotide small nucleolar RNA. RefSeq annotates it as small nucleolar RNA snoM1. The record is from RefSeq and is a predicted model, not a curated record. The transcript has a single exon. Lineage: Eukaryota; Metazoa; Arthropoda; Insecta; Diptera; Drosophilidae.
AAUUCAAUGAUUUCAAUUUUACCGCUGACCAGCCACGCCUUAGAGCCCUAGAGUUUUUCCCCAUUUCCGCCUGCCGAAGCGUCUAUUAAUGAUCCC